GACGAACGCUGGCGGCGUGCCUAAUACAUGCAAGUCGAACGCAUUUUCUUUCACCGUAGCUUGCUACACCGAAAGAAAAUGAGUGGCGAACGGGUGAGUAACACGUGGGUAACCUGCCCAUCAGCGGGGGAUAACACUUGGAAACAGGUGCUAAUACCGCAUAAUUCCAUUUACUGCAUGGUAGAUGGAUGAAAGGCGCUUUUGCGUCACUGAUGGAUGGACCCGCGGUGCAUUAGCUAGUUGGUGGGGUAACGGCCUACCAAGGCUGCGAUGCAUAGCCGACCUGAGAGGGUGAUCGGCCACACUGGGACUGAGACACGGCCCAGACUCCUACGGGAGGCAGCAGUAGGGAAUCUUCGGCAAUGGACGCAAGUCUGACCGAGCAGCGCCGCGUGAGUGAAGAAGGUUUUCGGAUCGUAAAACUCUGUUGUUAGAAAAGAACAAGGAUGAGAGUGGAAAGUUCAUCCCUUGACGGUAUCUAACCAGAAAGCCACGGCUAACUACGUG
RNAcentral lists this ribosomal RNA (507 nucleotides) under uncultured bacterium. RNAcentral's name for it is "partial 16S ribosomal RNA". It matches the Rfam family "Bacterial small subunit ribosomal RNA", at positions 28 to 507 of the family's 1533-position model. The record is from RNAcentral.